This 432-nucleotide ribosomal RNA is filed under the name uncultured bacterium. RNAcentral describes it as "partial 16S ribosomal RNA". It matches the Rfam family "Bacterial small subunit ribosomal RNA", at positions 29 to 507 of the family's 1533-position model. The record is from RNAcentral.
AACGAACGCUGGCGGCAUGCCCACACCUGCCAGUCGAACGAGACCUUCGGGUCUAGUGGCGCACGGGUGCGUAACGCGUGGGAACCUGCCCUUAGGUUCGGAAUAACUCCCCGAAAGGGGUGCUAAUACCGGAUAAUGUCUUCGGACCAAAGAUUUAUCGCCUUUGGAUGGGCCCGCGUUGGAUUAGCUAGUUGGUAGGGUAAAAGCCUACCAAGGCGACGAUCCAUAGCUGGUCUGAGAGGAUGAUCAGCCACACUGGGACUGAGACACGGCCCAGACUCCUACGGGAGGCAGCAGUGGGGAAUAUUGGACAAUGGGCGAAAGCCUGAUCCAGCAAUGCCGCGUGAGUGAUGAAGGCCUUAGGGUUGUAAAGCUCUUUUACCCGGGAUGAUAAUGACAGUACCGGGAGAAUAAGCUCCGGCUAACUCCGUG